Molecule: RNA transcript, 636 nt
Organism: Selaginella moellendorffii
Lineage: Eukaryota; Viridiplantae; Streptophyta; Lycopodiopsida; Selaginellales; Selaginellaceae
Exons: 3
Source: RefSeq, a predicted model, not a curated record
CUGGUACCAUGGCACAAUCUAAAGGCACUAAUGUGGCUCUGUUGUGCUAAAAGGUCCAUUUCAUUCAUGCAUAAAUUGUUUAUACAUGGUCUCUCAACGCCCCAGGAAACAUGAGCUCGUUUGGAUUGUUUUUAUUCAUACUUAGAUAUGUUUCUGUAUUGCAGGAGGGUCUAUUACAGAAGGGACUCAAAAGGAUAAGAAAGACAUCCAGAGUGUGCUGGACAAAUGGCACGAUGAUCUUCUUGAUGAUACCAACCGUAAACAGAGAACUCUACUUGGUCCAUUCAACACGAGAGAUAGAAAUAGCUCCUUCAACAAGGAUGGAUGGAGGCUUGACAGUCAAAGUAAUGGUCCUUUUGUGAAGUUCCCUAAAGAAGAUCCCAACACUAAGUACCAGAACUUUGCCAUCCAGUGGCAAAAGUCAGUCUAUUCAUGUGUGGUUGCUCCGCUCGGCCAAAGCCCCCGACCUGCGCACGAUCUUAUCAUAGAAGCAUUCAAUAAGAGCAUGGCGGAGUUAAAAGUUGCUGUUAUCAAGAGGAAGUCUGGAAACACUUGGGAGAUAGUGAUGGAAAAGUAAUCUCCUGUUCAUUACGUUUGUACUUAAAAGCAUUAUAUUAUAUGUUUCAUUUACAGCUC